AACGAACGCUGGCGGCAGGCCUAACACAUGCAAGUCGAACGCUCCGCAAGGGGAGUGGCGCACGGGUGAGUAACACGUGGGAACCUACCUUCUGGUACGGAACAACCAAGGGAAACUUUGGCUAAGACCGUAUACGACCUCCGGGUGAAAGAUUGAUCGCCGGAAGAGGGGCCCGCGUCCGAUUAGGUAGUUGGUGAGGUAAACGGCUCACCAAAGCCUUCGAUCGGUAGCUGGUCUGAGAGGAU
RNAcentral lists this ribosomal RNA (245 nucleotides) under uncultured bacterium. RNAcentral describes it as "partial 16S ribosomal RNA". It matches the Rfam family "Bacterial small subunit ribosomal RNA", at positions 29 to 301 of the family's 1533-position model. The record is from RNAcentral.